UGCCUAAUACAUGCAAGUCGUACGCUUCUUUUUCCACCGGAGCUUGCUCCACCGGAAAAAGAAGAGUGGCGAACGGGUGAGUAACACGUGGGUAACCUGCCCAUCAGAAGGGGAUAACACUUGGAAACAGGUGCUAAUACCGUAUAACAAUCGAAACCGCAUGGUUUUGAUUUGAAAGGCGCUUUCGGGUGUCGCUGAUGGAUGGACCCGCGGUGCAUUAGCUAGUUGGUGAGGUAACGGCUCACCAAGGCCACGAUGCAUAGCCGACCUGAGAGGGUGAUCGGCCACAUUGGGACUGAGACACGGCCCAAACUCCUACGGGAGGCAGCAGUAGGGAAUCUUCGGCAAUGGACGAAAGUCUGACCGAGCAACGCCGCGUGAGUGAAGAAGGUUUUCGGAUCGUAAAACUCUGUUGUUAGAGAAGAAUAAGGAUGAGAGUAACUGUUCAUCCCUUGACGGUAUCUAACCAGAAAGCCACGGCUAACUACGUGCCAGCAGCCGCGGUAAUACGUAGGUGGCAAGCGUUGUCCGGAUUUAUUGGGCGUAAAGCGAGCGCAGGCGGUUUCUUAAGUCUGAUGUGAAAGCCCCCGGCUCAACCGGGGAGGGUCAUUGGAAACUGGGAGACUUGAGUGCAGAAGAGGAGAGUGGAAUUCCAUGUGUAGCGGUGAAAUGCGUAGAUAUAUGGAGGAACACCAGUGGCGAAGGCGGCUCUCUGGUCUGUAACUGACGCUGAGGCUCGAAAGCGUGGGGAGCAAACAGGAUUAGAUACCCUGGUAGUCCACGCCGUAAACGAUGAGUGCUAAGUGUUGGAGGGUUUCCGCCCUUCAGUGCUGCAGCUAACGCAUUAAGCACUCCGCCUGGGGAGUACGACCGCAAGGUUGAAACUCAAAGGAAUUGACGGGGGCCCGCACAAGCGGUGGAGCAUGUGGUUUAAUUCGAAGCAACGCGAAGAACCUUACCAGGUCUUGACAUCCUUUGACCACUCUAGAGAUAGAGCUUCCCCUUCGGGGGCAAAGUGACAGGUGGUGCAUGGUUGUCGUCAGCUCGUGUCGUGAGAUGUUGGGUUAAGUCCCGCAACGAGCGCAACCCUUAUUGUUAGUUGCCAUCAUUCAGUUGGGCACUCUAGCAAGACUGCCGGUGACAAACCGGAGGAAGGUGGGGAUGACGUCAAAUCAUCAUGCCCCUUAUGACCUGGGCUACACACGUGCUACAAUGGGAAGUACAACGAGUCGCGAAGUCGCGAGGCUAAGCUAAUCUCUUAAAGCUUCUCUCAGUUCGGAUUGUAGGCUGCAACUCGCCUACAUGAAGCCGGAAUCGCUAGUAAUCGCGGAUCAGCACGCCGCGGUGAAUACGUUCCCGGGCCUUGUACACACCGCCCGUCACACCACGAGAGUUUGUAACACCCGAAGUCGGUGAGGUAACCUUUUGGAGCCAGCCGCCUAAGGUGGGAUAGAUGAUUGGG
RNAcentral lists this ribosomal RNA (1462 nucleotides) under Enterococcus durans. Its description in RNAcentral is "bacterial SSU rRNA". It matches the Rfam family "Bacterial small subunit ribosomal RNA". The record is from RNAcentral. Lineage: Bacteria; Bacillati; Bacillota; Bacilli; Lactobacillales; Enterococcaceae.